AAACAUAUGCUUUGGGACACUCUUAUUCUAACCUCACCACACUGUAUGGAUCGUAUGAACAUUGGGACGCAACUUUGUUUCUAAGGAGUUUCGGUUUUCGAAGACUUGCACGUACUGUACGCCAUUUGGUUUAGGACAUCCGUGUUGUGCGACAGUCGUUCGCUCUGUAACCUUCUGCGCUGUCACAAUCGCUGUGUGUGAUGCUGAACUUAAGUUGGAGGCAACUGAAGGAGAAAAUGUUACAAUGUCCUUCAAAACUGCUGGACUGGAGAGAGCCGAUCAAGUGAAGAUAACUUUGACAAGAGGAAGUCAGAAAAACCUGAUUGCGCAGCACUGUCGCUGUGUCCAUCGUGGAGACUGUAGUGUUGUGGAAACAGCGGGAGUCUUACUGAGAGCUGAAGAAGGAACCUUAACUCUUCUGCGUGUCAGCUCCAAUAACUCAGGCCUCUAUGAAGCACAAAUCUUCACUGGAAGUAAUGUUUCCGAGUUAAAAGCUACACUUGUUGUCAACAAACCACUUUGCUCGAGUAGACAUCCACCCCGUGCCUUCACCCCGAAACCUCACAACUUCUCUGAACACCGAUGGCUAUAUGCAGCAAUAAUAAUAAUGAUAAUUAUAGGGUUUGUCAGCUGUGGGGUUGUUUGUUGCUUCAGGAACGCAGGAGGGCAAGUAUCACUUACAUUUAUACUUUCUGUGAUGAAUAUGAGUGCUGCAGUUCUAAUGAUCUGUUAAACCAGGGGUCUCCAACUUUAUUUCAUUCGAUAGCUACUUUUUAAAAAGGAAAGUGGCUGAGAGCUUCCCAUGUUGUACAAAAACUUAAUGCAUCAAUCCAAACUGUUAUACACGGCAUUGGUAAAAUGUGCUGAAAAUGUACUGAUACUUUACACACACUGAAAUCAUUUCACAUUUCAAGUUAUAUGUCAAAAACCAACAAAUAGAAUUAACAGCACUAUGCUUUUUUGUGUGUGCAUAAACAUUGAAAUAAAAACAUUAACAAUGAUUUUCAUGGUAACCUCUGUAAAAAAAAGAAGCACUGCGCAUUACACGGAGGAAAGAUGAAAAGCAAAUGCCAUCGAAACUUUUCUAAAGAGUCGGUUCCCUAUUAUGCAUUCAUACAAUUCAUUCAAUCAUACAUUAGAGAGUAACAGAGUUAGGUUGGAUUCACUUUGAUUGUCUACAGUUUUUGUUUGUUUGUUUGGGUUUUUUUUUGGGCACCAGAAAAAAAAAAACUGCUCAGCUACAUUUCAUUUUUGGAGCAAGUGGAUGAAAAUUAAUGCAAGUUUAUUGUAAAACUCAAACCAGGAGCAGAAUGAUUGCCUGUUUUUAAAGUGGCUUAAGGACAGUGUGGUGCAGUUAAACCUGUUAAUUACUAAAUUAUUUGCUUGUUUUUGAAUGUUUACAAUAAAAGUGAAAGAAUGUGGUUUCAUGUAUAAAAUGAAAUGUGUACAUGUAGUUUUGACCUCAGCACCUUUUUUUAUUUUAUUUUAUUUGCAUCUUGUAAUUGUGUUAUUUGUGUUGAUUGUCAGGAAACGUGAGUCAGCAGCCUGAAGAAGCCAAAGAAAACCCCUUCUGUCUCCAUGUAUGAAGCUCUUCACUGGUUUAUGAAUUUCCUCAUGUCUUUUCAUGUAUUACAUGACUUUUUUCUUAAAGGCACAUGUCGGGCCUCACUAAAGUGAGUUUUCUGUUUCUUUACAGACCCAGUAACUUAAAAAAUUAUUAAUUGAAAAAAAAAGUAGUUACGCAGAAGUCCCCUUUAAGGCUUGUAGAGAAGACACUAAAGAUCAGCUCAUGGAUUUUAAAACACCAAAUAUUAAGGAUGCACUCAUAUCCAGUUAUUCAGAAUCACAUCUGAUGGUAAAGACAGUCUGCUGGUUAUGUCUCACACUUUGUGCUUUAUGGUUUAAGUUUUUUUACACACUCAAAAAAAAUUGGUUCUUCAGUGGUUCUUCAGGGUUAAGGUGCUAUAUAACACCACUGUGAUAGAAAGAACCCAUUAAGCCCCUUUAUAGUUCUUUAAAGGUUCUCUAACUCUCUCUUAGUUUAGUUGGGGAAAGAAUUAAAAAACUACAUUAAAAUAAUGUGUUAUACUGCAUUAAACGCUACACCCAUCAUCCCCAUCCCAAAGAAACCCAAAAUUAGAGGACUAAAUGACUACAGACCUGUGGCUCUAACAUCUGUGGUCAUGAAAUCAUUUGAGAGACUGGUGUUGGCUUAUCUGAAGGACAUCUCUGGACCCUUACUGGAUCCUCUGCAGUUUGCUUACUGAGCAAACAGGUCUGUGGAUGAUGCAGUCAACAUGGGACUGCAUUAUGUUCUGUAACAUCUGGACAGACCAGUGUAACGACAGUGCUCUCAGGACUUGAAGUGGGACAUUUACAUUGACUCCAUUGUUAAAAAAGGCCCAGCAAAGGCUGUAUUUCCUUCGCCAGCUACCACAGGAGCUGCUGAAACAGUUCUAGUCCGCCAUCAUUGAAUCCGUCCAUUUUUGUAUAUUGUUAUUUCCUAUUACUUAUCCUAUUUGUAUUCUUUUAUUAUCUUUGUCUUGUCUUGUCACUGUCAUUCUGUUUGUACUGUGGUAUCAUUGGUUAACAAUGUGUUUAUUAUGUCUGUGGGGGCUGACGGGUAAGUUUCCAGCAGACAAGAACCUAACCGGAAACUGACCUAGUAUAUUUUGCUAUCUCAGUUAAUUUCAUUCAGCACUAUUAAGCCCUUCCCAGUGCUGAACUGUCAUGGGUCCUUUGAGAAACUGAAUUUUUAAUUUUCCUAAGCUGUAAGUCAUAACCAUCAGAAUUAAAACAAACUCUUGAAAUAUUUCAGUUUGUGUGC
Cyprinus carpio (common carp) is the source of this 2827-nucleotide long non-coding RNA. RefSeq lists it as uncharacterized. The transcript is spliced from 3 exons. The record is from RefSeq and is a predicted model, not a curated record. NCBI's taxonomy places the organism in Eukaryota, Metazoa, Chordata, Actinopteri, Cypriniformes, Cyprinidae.